Molecule: microRNA precursor, 67 nt
Filed under: Cricetulus griseus (Chinese hamster)
Lineage: Eukaryota; Metazoa; Chordata; Mammalia; Rodentia; Cricetidae
Description: miRNA (ENSCGRG00001006097.1)
Source: RNAcentral
UGUAUGGAUGUAUGUGUGCAUUUGCAUAUCAAUGUGUGUAUAUGAUGGAUGUAUGCAUACAUAUGUG